This 520-nucleotide non-coding RNA is filed under the name Blastocystis hominis. RNAcentral describes it as "Eukaryotic small subunit ribosomal RNA". It matches the Rfam family "Eukaryotic small subunit ribosomal RNA", at positions 1370 to 1831 of the family's 1831-position model. The record is from Rfam by way of RNAcentral. Lineage: Eukaryota; Bigyra; Opalinata; Blastocystidae.
GUGUGCAAGGCCAUUAGUAAAACACAUUGGUAGCUAGUACCCGGACGAUUAGUUGGAUGAAAUGGGAUUUUUAGCCCCAUUAUAUUUAUUUUCAUCAACUUAGAGGGACACUGUGCGUUUGAGUACGGGGAAGCUGGAAGCAAUAACAGGUCUGUGAUGCCCUUAGAUGUUCUGGGCUGCACGCGCGCGACACUGAACUAUUCAACGAGUAUCUGAGUCGAUAGACUUGGGAAAUCUUUUGAAAAUAGUUCGUGAUGGGGAUUGAUGCUUGUAAUUUUUCAUCAUGAACGAGGAAUUCCUAGUAAAUGCAAGUCAUCAACUUGCGUUGAUUACGUCCCUGCCCUUUGUACACACCGCCCGUCGCACCUACCGAUUGGAUGAUCCGGUGAACACUUUGGAUUUUUAAUUAUUUAUCGGCUUGCUGGUAGAUAGUUGAAGAGAAGUCGUGUAAAUCUUAUCAUCUAGAGGAAGGUGAAGUCGUAACAAGGUUUCCGUAGGUGAACCUGCGGAAGGAUCAUUA